This 429-nucleotide ribosomal RNA is filed under the name Bacillota bacterium. RNAcentral's name for it is "Firmicutes bacterium partial 16S ribosomal RNA". It matches the Rfam family "Bacterial small subunit ribosomal RNA", at positions 355 to 776 of the family's 1533-position model. The record is from RNAcentral. Lineage: Bacteria; Bacillati; Bacillota.
UAGGGAAUCUUCGGCAAUGGACGGAAGUCUGACCGAGCAACGCCGCGUGAGUGAAGAAGGUUUCUGGAUCGUAAAGCUCUGUUGUUAGAGAAGAACGUUGGUAGGAGCGGAAAACCUACUAAGUGACGGUAACUAACCAGAAAGGGACGGCUAACUACGUGCCAGCAGCCGCGGUAAUACGUAGGUCCCGAGCGUUGUCCGGAUCUAUUGGGCGUAAAGCGAGCGCAGGCGGUUCUUUAAGUCUGGAGUUAAAGGCCGUGGCUUAACCAUUGUACGCUUUGGAAACUGGAGGACUUGAGUGCAGAAGGGGAGAGUGGAAUUCCAUGUGUAGCGGUGAAAUGCGUAGAUAUAUGGAGGAACACCGGUGGCGAAAGCGGCUCUCUGGUCUGUAACUGACGCUGAGGCUCGAAAGCGUGGGGAGCAAACAGG